RNAcentral lists this microRNA precursor (107 nucleotides) under Ixodes scapularis (black-legged tick). RNAcentral describes it as "mir-133 microRNA precursor family". It matches the Rfam family "mir-133 microRNA precursor family". Rfam says of the family: mir-133 was first experimentally characterised in mouse and homologues have since been discovered in several other species. The record is from RNAcentral. Lineage: Eukaryota; Metazoa; Arthropoda; Arachnida; Ixodida; Ixodidae.
AAUGACCAACUUUAGCUGGCUGAAGCCGGGCCAAAUCGUCAUAAUUCCUAUGAAAAGGAAUCUCAAUACAUUUGGUCCCCUUCAACCAGCUGUGGUUGGCAUAGCUC